ACGAACGCUGGCUGCGUGCUUCACACAUGCAAGUCGAACGGAAAGGCCCUGCUUUUGUGGGGUGCUCGAGUGGCGAACGGGUGAGUAACACGUGAGUAACCUGCCCUUGACUUUGGGAUAACUUCAGGAAACUGGGGCUAAUACCGGAUAGGAGCUCCUGCUGCAUGGUGGGGGUUGGAAAGUUUCGGCGGUUGGGGAUGGACUCGCGGCUUAUCAGCUUGUUGGUGGGGUAGUGGCUUACCAAGGCUUUGACGGGUAGCCGGCCUGAGAGGGUGACCGGCCACAUUGGGACUGAGAUACGGCCCAGACUCCUACGGGAGGCAGCAGUGGGGAAUAUUGCACAAUGGGCGGAAGCCUGAUGCAGCAACGCCGCGUGCGGGAUGACGGCCUUCGGGUUGUAAACCGCUUUCGCCUGUGACGAAGCGUGAGUGACGGUAAUGGGUAAAGAAGCACCGGCUAACUACGUG
Molecule: ribosomal RNA, 467 nt
Filed under: uncultured bacterium
Lineage: Bacteria
Description: partial 16S ribosomal RNA
Rfam family: Bacterial small subunit ribosomal RNA
Source: RNAcentral